This 497-nucleotide ribosomal RNA is filed under the name Starmerella bacillaris. Its description in RNAcentral is "eukaryotic LSU rRNA". It matches the Rfam family "Eukaryotic large subunit ribosomal RNA", at positions 67 to 668 of the family's 3401-position model. Lineage: Eukaryota; Fungi; Ascomycota; Dipodascomycetes; Dipodascales; Trichomonascaceae. The record is from RNAcentral.
CACCUGCAUGCCUAGUAACGGCGAGUGAACAGGCAAGAGCUCAGAUUUGAAAGGCACUUUUGUGCCGUUGUAUUCUGAAGUUAGGGUCCUGAGAAACGAUGCUUAAGUCUUCUGGAAAGGAGCGCCAUGGAGGGUGAUAGCCCCGUCUAGCAUUGACCUCAUAUAGGAUCUUAACAUGGAGUCGAGUUGUUUGGGAAUGCAGCUCAAAUGGGUGGUAUGCUCCAUCUAAAGCUAAAUAUCUGCGAGAGACCGAUAGUAAACAAGUACUGUGAGGGAAAGAUGAAAAGAACUUUGAAAAGAGAGUGAAAAAGUACGUGAAAUUGUUGAAAUGGAAGGGUAGGCCGCUAACCAUGUAGAGCCGUGUUUGGGGGGAAGAUAAAUGCUGUAGAAUGUAGCUCCUCGGAGUAUUAUAGAUGCAGUUCAUAUUCCCACCCGAGCGCGAGGAUCUCAGGUUCUACUAAAUGGUGGUCUACCACCCGUCUUGAAACCACGGACCA